AUCACAUCGGCCUUUUGGCUAUAGAUCAGGUGUAGUAUCUGUUCGUAUCAGUUUAAUAUCUGAUAUGUCCUCUAUCCUUCUAUUCUUGAAAUAAAUUCUGCUUGGUAACUAUU
RNAcentral lists this small nuclear RNA (113 nucleotides) under Sus scrofa (pig). Its description in RNAcentral is "U2 spliceosomal RNA (ENSSSCG00005044347.1)". It matches the Rfam family "U2 spliceosomal RNA". From Rfam's summary of the family: U2 is a small nuclear RNA (snRNA) component of the spliceosome (involved in pre-mRNA splicing). Complementary binding between U2 snRNA (in an area lying towards the 5' end but 3' to hairpin I) and the branchpoint sequence (BPS) of the intron results the bulging out of an unpaired adenosine, on the BPS, which initiates a nucleophilic attack at the intronic 5' splice site, thus starting the first of two transesterification reactions that mediate splicing. The record is from RNAcentral. Lineage: Eukaryota; Metazoa; Chordata; Mammalia; Artiodactyla; Suidae.